UCAGUAACAAGGAUUCAUCCUGUUGUAAUGCUGCAGGCUGACAGGAAAUCACUGUUACUGUGG
This 63-nucleotide microRNA precursor is filed under the name Tetraodon nigroviridis (spotted green pufferfish). RNAcentral's name for it is "Tni-Mir-459_pre stem-loop". The record is from RNAcentral. Lineage: Eukaryota; Metazoa; Chordata; Actinopteri; Tetraodontiformes; Tetraodontidae.